CAUGAAGCUGGAAUCGCUAGUAAUCGCGGAUCAGAAUGCCGCGGUGAAUACGUUCCCGGGUCUUGUACACACCGCCCGUCACACCAUGGGAGUCGGAAAUGCCCGAAGUCUGUGACCCAACCUGAGAGGGAGGGAGCAGCCGAAGGCAGGUCUGAUGACUGGGGCGAAGUCGUAACAAGGUAUC
Molecule: ribosomal RNA, 184 nt
Filed under: uncultured bacterium
Lineage: Bacteria
Description: partial 16S ribosomal RNA
Rfam family: Bacterial small subunit ribosomal RNA
Source: RNAcentral